This 525-nucleotide ribosomal RNA is filed under the name Streptomyces sp. Its description in RNAcentral is "bacterial SSU rRNA". It matches the Rfam family "Bacterial small subunit ribosomal RNA", at positions 508 to 1030 of the family's 1533-position model. The record is from RNAcentral. Lineage: Bacteria; Bacillati; Actinomycetota; Actinomycetes; Kitasatosporales; Streptomycetaceae.
CCAGCCAGCGGCGGUAUAUGUAGGGCGCGAGCGUUGUCAGGAAUUAUUGGGCGUAAGAGCUCGUAGGCGGCUUGUCGCGUCGGUUGUGAAAGCCCCGGGUGCUUAACCCCCGGGUCUGCUGUCGAUACGGGCCGGCUAGAGUUCGGUAGGGGAGAUCAGAAAUUCCUGGUGUAGCGGUGAAGUGCGCAGAUAUCAGGGAGGAACACCGGUGGCGAAGGCGGAUCUCUGGGCCGAUACUGACGCUGAGGAGCGAAGCGUGGGGAGCGAACAGGAUUAGAUACCUGGUUGUCCACGCCGUUAACGGUGGGCACUAGGUGUGGGCGACAUUCCAGGUCGUCCGUGCCGCAGCUAACGCAUUAAGUGCCCCGCCUGGGGAGUACGGCCGCAAGGCUAAAACUCAAAGGAAUUGACGGGGGCCCGCACAAGCGGCGGAGCAUGUGGCUUAAUUCGACGCAACGCGAAGAACCUUACCAAGGCUUGACAUACACCGGAAAACCCCGGAGACAGGGUCCCCCUUGUGGUCGG